Molecule: long non-coding RNA, 698 nt
Organism: Entelurus aequoreus (snake pipefish)
Lineage: Eukaryota; Metazoa; Chordata; Actinopteri; Syngnathiformes; Syngnathidae
Exons: 3
Source: RefSeq, a predicted model, not a curated record
GUCUGGCUACUGCCACUGGUAAAGUUACUAAACAUGUUAGACUUAGUCCAUCUAAAAGUUACCAUUCUUAACUUAUUCAUGACAAAGCCAGGAACUAAACCAGGAUUUGUGUCGGGGAUGCCUUUGAAAGAUGGACACCAUUGAAUGUUUUCAUCUGACGCAAAACUUGCUCAUUUCCUUCUUGAUAGAGACUCCAGUUGUUCCGUGUCCAGCUGCUCCUCCAAAGGAACCUUGGAAAAACAGACCAAUUCAUGAAAUGAGUCUGUCAAUAUCAAAUAUUCAAUAGACAGGAUUGAACAGAGGAGGGAGGAUAUCCUGUUACGGCCUGAGGAAAAGACUAGAAGAAUGCAAAAGCUAGUGGAAGUUGUGUGUCAUCGCACAGGAGUUGUGUAGCCAUGGUUUGAGCUGACAUUCCACACAUAGCGAGCUCAGAGCUCAGAUGCCAAUGAAUGUGAUGAAAGACCGUCGAGCCCGCCUGCAAAGUUUUAGGUGCAAACUGAGUGCAGGAAUGCAUAAAAGAUGUAAUAAUGAUCCCAGUCAAAAUGCAUCAGCUGCAUGUUGGAAGCUGCAAGAAUCAUUUGUGUAAAUAUUACACUGAGCAGAUAAUGAGGUGUUCAAUAUGGGCUGCAGGAAUACAGUAAUGGGAUAAACCAUAGUACAUUGUGUAUUUCUGUGUAAAUUGUUUAAAUAAAAAUGUU